UAGGGAAUCUUCCACAAUGGACGAAAGUCUGAUGGAGCAACGCCGCGUGAGUGAAGAAGGGUUUCGGCUCGUAAAGCUCUGUUGGUAGUGAAGAAAGAUAGAGGUAGUAACUGGCCUUUAUUUGACGGUAAUUACUUAGAAAGUCACGGCUAACUACGUGCCAGCAGCCGCGGUAAUACGUAGGUGGCAAGCGUUGUCCGGAUUUAUUGGGCGUAAAGCGAGUGCAGGCGGUUCAAUAAGUCUGAUGUGAAAGCCUUCGGCUCAACCGGAGAACUGCAUCAGAAACUGUUGAACUUGAGUGCAGAAGAGGAGAGUGGAACUCCAUGUGUAGCGGUGGAAUGCGUAGAUAUAUGGAAGAACACCAGUGGCGAAGGCGGCUCUCUGGUCUGCAACUGACGCUGAGGCUCGAAAGCAUGGGUAGCGAACAGG
RNAcentral lists this ribosomal RNA (429 nucleotides) under uncultured Lactobacillus sp. RNAcentral's name for it is "bacterial SSU rRNA". It matches the Rfam family "Bacterial small subunit ribosomal RNA", at positions 355 to 776 of the family's 1533-position model. Lineage: Bacteria; Bacillati; Bacillota; Bacilli; Lactobacillales; Lactobacillaceae. The record is from RNAcentral.